UACGUAGGUGGCAAGCGUUGUCCGGAUUUAUUGGGUUUAAAGGGUGCGUAGGCGGCUUAUUAAGUCAGUGGUGAAAUACUCUAGCUCAACUAGAGGGGUGCCAUUGAUACUGAUGAGCUUGAGUACAGAUGAGGUGGGCGGAAUUGACGGUGUAGCGGUGAAAUGCUUAGAUAUCGUCAAGAACACCUAUAGCGAAGGCAGCUUACUAGGCUGUAACUGACGCUGAGGCACGAAAGUGUGGGGAUCAAACAGG
This 253-nucleotide ribosomal RNA is filed under the name uncultured bacterium. Its description in RNAcentral is "partial 16S ribosomal RNA". It matches the Rfam family "Bacterial small subunit ribosomal RNA", at positions 524 to 776 of the family's 1533-position model. The record is from RNAcentral.